GACGAACGCUGGCGGCGUGCUUAACACAUGCAAGUCGAACGGAAAGGCCCUGCUUUUGUGGGGUUCUCGAGUGGCGAACGGGUGAGUAACACGUGAGUAACCUGCCCUUGACUUUGGGAUAACUUCAGGAAACUGGGGCUACUACCGGAUAGGAGCUCCUGCUGCAUGGUGGGGGUUGGAAAGUUUCGGCGGUUGGGGAUGGACUCGCGGCUUAUCAGCUUGUUGGUGGGGUAGUGGCUUACCAAGGCUUUGACGGGUAGCCGGCCUGAGAGGGUGACCGGCCACAUUGGGACUGAGAUACGGACCAGACGCCUACGGGAGGCAGCAGUGGGGAAUAUUGCACAAUGGGCGGAAGCCGGAUGCAGCAACGCCGCGUGCGGGAUGACGGCCUUCGGGUUGUAAACCGCUUUCGCCUGUGACGAAGCGUGAGUGACGGUAAUGGGUAAAGAAGCACCGGCUAACUACGUG
RNAcentral lists this ribosomal RNA (468 nucleotides) under uncultured bacterium. RNAcentral describes it as "partial 16S ribosomal RNA". It matches the Rfam family "Bacterial small subunit ribosomal RNA", at positions 28 to 507 of the family's 1533-position model. The record is from RNAcentral.